This is a long non-coding RNA of Gossypium raimondii (Peruvian cotton), 375 nucleotides long. RefSeq lists it as uncharacterized. Lineage: Eukaryota; Viridiplantae; Streptophyta; Magnoliopsida; Malvales; Malvaceae. The transcript is spliced from 2 exons. The record is from RefSeq and is a predicted model, not a curated record.
CACUACUAUUUUCUCUUUGCUGCUUUCCAUUUUACUCCUUCAGCUUUCCUUAGCUUUGCAUUUUCCGACGAGAAAAAAAGCAAUAAAAUGUCACUGUGGCAACAUAUCCGGAGCCGCCAUGAGGAAAAAGGCGUUAUCUAUGCCGUCUUGUUUACAUGUUGUUGCUGUUUCUGCUGCUACGAGACUUUAGAGUUUAUAUUGGAGAAUGGGAUACGUUUCGUGCCUUUCCUUUAAGCUAAUGUUUUAAUUUCCACUCUCAUCAUCACUUGCUCUUGUUUCGGGGAAUUAGAUCACCCCAUCUUAAUUAUUGUAAAAUAAUGCAAGUGUUAUCCACCAGUAACUUAUGCAGUUUAGUUUGCUGCUAAAAUUUAUUUA